GAUGAAGAACGCAGCGAAAUGCGAUAAGUAAUGUGAAUUGCAGAAUUCAGUGAAUCAUCGAAUCUUUGAACGCACAUUGCGCCCCCUGGUAUUCCGGGGGGCAUGCCUGUCCGAGCGUCAUUACAACCCUCAAGCUCAGCUUGGUAUUGGGCCCCGCCGACCCGGCGGGCCCUAAAGUCAGUGGCGGUGCCGUCCGGCUCCGAGCGUAGUAAUUCUUCUCGCUCUGGAGGUCCGGUCGUGUGCUCGCCAGCAACCCCCAAUUUUUUUCAGGUUGACCUCGGAUCAGGUAGGGAUACCCGCCGAACUUAAGCAUAUCAAUAAGCGGAGGA
RNAcentral lists this unclassified non-coding RNA (329 nucleotides) under soil metagenome. RNAcentral describes it as "partial contains 5.8S ribosomal RNA, internal transcribed spacer 2, and large subunit ribosomal RNA". The stretch from base 1 to 120 matches the Rfam family "5.8S ribosomal RNA", at positions 35 to 154 of the family's 154-position model. The record is from RNAcentral.